UACGAAGGGGGCUAGCGUUGCUCGGAAUCACUGGGCGUAAAGCGCACGUAGGCGGCUUUCUAAGUCAGGGGUGAAAUCCUGGAGCUCAACUCCAGAACUGCCUUUGAUACUGGAAGGCUUGAGUCCGGGAGAGGUGAGUGGAACUGCGAGUGUAGAGGUGAAAUUCGUAGAUAUUCGCAAGAACACCAGUGGCGAAGGCGGCUCACUGGCCCGGUACUGACGCUGAGGUGCGAAAGCGUGGGGAGCGAACAGG
This 253-nucleotide ribosomal RNA is filed under the name uncultured bacterium. RNAcentral describes it as "partial 16S ribosomal RNA". It matches the Rfam family "Bacterial small subunit ribosomal RNA", at positions 524 to 776 of the family's 1533-position model. The record is from RNAcentral.